AGUAAAGCAUCGGAACGUGCCCAAUCGUGGGGGAUAACGUAGCGAAAGUUACGCUAAUACCGCAUACGUCCUGAGGGAGAAAGCAGGGGACUCGCAAGAGCCUUGCGCGAAUGGAGCGGCCGAUGUCGGAUUAGCUUGUUGGCGGGGUAAAAGCCCACCAAGGCGACGAUCCGUAGCUGGUCUGAGAGGACGACCAGCCACACUGGGACUGAGACACGGCCCAG
RNAcentral lists this ribosomal RNA (224 nucleotides) under uncultured bacterium. Its description in RNAcentral is "partial 16S ribosomal RNA". It matches the Rfam family "Bacterial small subunit ribosomal RNA", at positions 109 to 334 of the family's 1533-position model. The record is from RNAcentral.